AUGGAGCGGUUCUGUUUCCUAAGUGAUCCACCUUUGGUCAAAGAAAGCCUUGUGCCCAGAGUAGACAGAUUCCCUAAUAAAGAUGGAAGCGUCAACUCUGAAGCAAGGAUACUUGGUAAAAUGAUUUUAAAACUGACAAGAAAAAGCAGCUCGAAGUGGCCCAGCAAGUUCAGAGAAAGUCCGCGCUGGCGGGACGCACGGAGGCGGUGUGAUGAGCUGUGCGCUGCUGACACCACGCUGAGUGAACAGAGGAAGGCUCUUGGAGGAGGUUCAAGGGGCCAGCAUUGUCUUCCCCGAUGGCUCAACCAAGAAAGAAUCUGCCUGCAGUUCAGGAGACACAGAAGACGCAGGUUCGACCUCUGUGUCAGGAGGAUCCCCUGGAGGAGGAAAUGGCAAGCCACUCCAGUAUUCUUGCCUGGAGAUUUCCAUGGACAGAGGAACUUUGUGGGCUACAGCCCCUGGAGUUGCAAAGAGUCAGACACAACUGAGCAGGCAGGCAGAACUACAACUUGGUUGCUCUCUCUGAGAGGCCAGCAAGAGCUACCUUAUUAGCACAGAAUAAAGUAGCAGACCAAGGGGUCCCUCUGAAUGAC
RNAcentral lists this long non-coding RNA (593 nucleotides) under Bos indicus x Bos taurus (hybrid cattle). RNAcentral describes it as "lncRNA (ENSBIXG00005001657.1)". The record is from RNAcentral. Lineage: Eukaryota; Metazoa; Chordata; Mammalia; Artiodactyla; Bovidae.